This 1411-nucleotide long non-coding RNA is filed under the name Salvator merianae (Argentine black and white tegu). Its description in RNAcentral is "lncRNA (ENSSMRG00000019020.1)". The record is from RNAcentral. Lineage: Eukaryota; Metazoa; Chordata; Lepidosauria; Squamata; Teiidae.
GGCUAAACUAUCUAAUAUUGAAAUUAAACCUUGUGACAAAUAUCUAGAAUGUAGAGUUUGUGCAGAAACCAAGGUAAAAGCUUUUCCUAUAGCCAAAUACAGUGAUAGGAGAUCAACGAAACCUUUUCAAUUAGUCCAUACAGAUGUUGCUGGUCCAUUUAGCCCAAGUCAGGGAGGCCAUAAAUGGAUUAUGGUAAUUAUUGAUGAUUAUAGCAGAUUUACAUACACAUAUUUACUUAAGUCAAAGGCUCAGGUGUAUGAUAAAAUGAAGGACUNGCUGAACAUGAUUUCUACCCAAUUUGGUUGUACAGUGCAGAAGGUACAAUCUGAUAGAGGAGAAAUGAUGUCUAAGGCUAUAGCAGAUCUGUUUAGAACACGAGGCAUUAUACAUAGAAAGACCAAUCCGUAUUGUUCAGCUGAAAAUGGUGUAGCUGAACGACGAAUUGGAUUAAUUCAAGAAAUGUACAAGGCNAUNUUAUCUGAUGCUAAAAUGCCACAUUAUUUCUGGGGAGAAGCAGUAGCUACUAGUACUUAUGUUUUGAACCGAAUAUAUUCUUCUACUGUUGGUAACACUCCAUAUUUUAUGUUAUAUGGUAAAGAACCUGACGUAAAGCACAUGAGGAUCUUUGGCUCAUAUGCUCAUGUACUAAUACCCAGGGCACAAAGAAGAAAGAGAGACAAAAUUUCACAGAGAUUACGUUUUGUUGGGUAUGAAGAAAAUACAAAGGGGUAUCAUUUCUCUCUGAGUUAUGGUAAAGUAGUGGUGUCAAGGAGUGCAAACUUUGAGAUUCACUCAGAUUGGGCUAAUAUACAUAUUAAUAGUGAUGUUUUCUAUUACAUAUGGGGAAAAGAAGGGACUGAUGCUAACGUUACAGGUAGGAAUGUGCCUGAAUACAAAAGAAAGUGGGAAGAUUAUCGCAGUUCCACAUCUUUUUCCAGUGCCACAUCUCCCUCCUCUAGUAGCACAGAGACUGAGCCCAGCUCAGAAGAUGAACCUUCUGUUUCUUCUCAAGCUCAGCCCACUACUGUAGAUAAGGAAGAGUUAGUGCCAAGGAGAUCUGAACGAACAACUAAAGGUAUUCCUCCAGAAAGAUUUCAAAUUGGUCAAGUAAGUAUUGUAGAUAGUCAGGAGCAAUGGUCUGAGCCAAAUAAUUAUAAAGAAGUAAUGACCAGACCAGAAAAAGAAAAACAAGAAUGGAUACAAGCUAUGUAAAAGGAAUUUGAUUCUCUAUUGAACAGUUUGUAGAAAUGCUUGGUCUAUUUACAAUGUAAAGAAUUGUGAUCUUAUGUUCCUAAAGAAGGGAUGUCAAGUAUUGAAAGAGUUAAGUCAGGAACAAAGAGUCACAAUGAGUCAGCAUUUCUUGACUAAGAGAUUUAUGAUGUUGUUUACAUAACUCUAGCUGACAGUUGA